ACCAAUCAGAGCCAGGGGGCGGGGCUUAGCGCUAGCUCUGUGUGACGCUGCAGCUAGCAAAGCCCACAGACAGGCGUUCGAAAAAUCCUGUCAUGAAUGCUAGGCUAGCUAGAGUAGCCGCCGAUGACGUCGGAUAAGCGGCUUUCCUGUAACGGCAAGUUGUUUCUUCGCCAUUAGCAUAUUGCCUUCAUCAAAGAUGCAGCCUGUUCACAGCAGAAACGUCAAUGCCCACACCUGCUUGGGUGGCGAGUGUGAGGCAUCGCUGCCGAUUGGCUCCGUGGAGCCAGACAGAGAGACCGAUGAAGUGGGAGGACGGACAGAAACCCGGCAGGAUGCAAAAAACUGUUCUCCCUACAGGCCGUCAGACUCAUCUAACACAAGGAUAACCAAGCAUCUUUGGUUGGUUCUGUCUGGAGUUUGCUGAUGGCCCAAAGCUUGAGAAACAUUCCCAGAUGGGUGGAUGUCAGUCUGUUGUUGAAUUUCUUCAGACUGGGUCGUCAUGAGAUGGUUUUUGAAAUCCCUUGACCUGCUUCAUGCUGCUGGUCAGGCUCUGCUUUAAGCCUGGAUGUGAUAAGUCACAUUAAACUCGGCUUUAGAGGGGAAAUAACUUUUUCACCCAGUCAGGUUGGUUUGGAUAGUUUUAAUUGUU
Long non-coding RNA from Poecilia latipinna (sailfin molly), 649 nucleotides. RefSeq lists it as uncharacterized. The record is from RefSeq and is a predicted model, not a curated record. Lineage: Eukaryota; Metazoa; Chordata; Actinopteri; Cyprinodontiformes; Poeciliidae. The transcript has 3 exons.